RNAcentral lists this ribosomal RNA (643 nucleotides) under Idris sp. 1 NM-2013. RNAcentral's name for it is "eukaryotic LSU rRNA". It matches the Rfam family "Eukaryotic large subunit ribosomal RNA", at positions 420 to 848 of the family's 3401-position model. Lineage: Eukaryota; Metazoa; Arthropoda; Insecta; Hymenoptera; Scelionidae. The record is from RNAcentral.
CCCGAAAGAUCGAAUGAGGAGAUUCAUCGUCAGCGUGGUUAGUUUCCAUGUGUUUAGCGAUGGCACGCAUUCGCUUGGUAUAUCUGAUUACGUCGGCGUGCACUUCUCCUCUAGUAGAACGUUGCGACCCGCUGGGUGUUGGCUUAAGGACUGAGAUGUUGACUGUUUUCGUACGUUUACGCGUUCUGUUGACAGACACUUGGAUUUCUGGCUGACUGCUCGGCGGUACACACAAGGUAUUGAGCCGCACAUUUUGAAUGCGUUCAGACUCGUUUACAAGCUAAUCAUUGAAUAACUUGAGGGUGCGGACCUAGUGCCGUCCUUGAGGGUGUUUGGCUGUUGGUUUACGAUGUUCUCGAACUGGCUUAAUACCGGUCAGCAACGCUAUUGCUUUGGGUACUUUCAGGACCCGUCUUGAAACACGGACCAAGGAGUCUAACAUGUGCGCAAGUCAUUGGGAUAUAUUAAACCUAAAGGCGCAUUGAAAGAAAAGAUCGGCCUUGUGUCCAUUGAGGGAGGAUAGGUAAUAAUAAAAUAUUGCUUCGCACUCCCGGGGUGUCUCUUAAAGUCAUUGCGACUUGAGGCGCACCUAGAGCGUACACGUUGGGACCCAAAAGAUGGUGAACUAUGCCUGGUCAGGAUG